ACGAACGCUGGCGGCGUGCUUAACACCUGCAAGUCGAACGGAAAGGCCCUGCUUUUGUGGGGUGCUCGAGUGGCGAACGGGUGAGUAACACGUGAGUAACCUGCCCUUGACUUUGGGAUAACUUCAGGAAACUGGGGCUAAUACCGGAUAGGAGCUCCUGCUGCAUGGUGGGGGUUGGAAAGUUUCGGCGGUUGGGGAUGGACUCGCGGCUUAUCAGCUUGUUGGUGGGGUAGUGGCUUACCAAGGCUUUGACGGGUAGCCGGCCUGAGAGGGUGACCGGCCACAUUGGGACUGAGAUACGGCCCAGACUCCUACGGGAGGCAGCAGUGGGGAAUAUUGCACAAUGGGCGGAAGCCUGAUGCAGCAACGCCGCGUGCGGGAUGACGGCCCUCGGGUUGUAAACCGCUUUCGCCUGUGACGAAGCGUGAGUGACGGUAAUGGGUAAAGAAGCACCGGCUAACUACGUG
This 467-nucleotide ribosomal RNA is filed under the name uncultured bacterium. RNAcentral describes it as "partial 16S ribosomal RNA". It matches the Rfam family "Bacterial small subunit ribosomal RNA", at positions 29 to 507 of the family's 1533-position model. The record is from RNAcentral.